AUAUUUAAGCCACCAAAAGCAAUGCGAGGAGGAAUCCCCAUAUGUUUCCCGCAGGUUCAUGCAUGCUCAUAUCUUUUCCUGUGGUAUCUAAUUCCAAGUUCCCGACUAACAUCAUGUUUUAAUGCUCUUGAAGUUUGGAAACAGUGGAUCACUGGAGCAACAUGGGUUUGCAAGGAACAAGAUUUGGACCAUUGAUAAUGAUCCUCCACCUCUUCAUCCUGCUGAGUACAUUGGCAAAUCUGCUAUAGACUUGCUACUGAAACCAUCUGAAGAGGAUCUGAAGUGCUGGCCCCACUGGGCAUGUUUGCAUGCGGGCGGCACUAAUCAAAUCAGAUAAGAUUAGCCUGAUGUAUUUUGUUUUCUAUGGGGAGACGAAAUGAAAUGAAUUGAUACGGUUGACCCUUUUAAGGUGUUUCCCCUUUAAUGGGGCUGUUUUGCAUUAACCUUGUUCGAUUAAAAUCUUUUUUCUAUUAAAAAAAUGAAAAAUCUUGGGAAUUGUCGCCCUUCCAAAUGGCCCUUAAAUAGUUCAGAUGAAAAAUGAUGAAACUUUUGCAUCUUCUUUUCUAUUCUCUUUUUCGUGUUAAAUUUUCUCUUUUAUUUAUUUAUUUUGUAUGCGAUGUCUUGCUAAUGAAAACAUUUACCGUGGCAUUUCAGUUUUUGAGUUCCGUCUUAGAGUGGCUCUUGCGUUGAAUGGAGAUCUCACCAUGAUAUCGCGGAUUAGGAACCUCGACAGCAAGCCAUUUAGUUUCUCCUUUGCUUUCCACACAUAUUUCUCUGUUUCUGACAUCAGGUAUGGAAAAAUCUUUGUUGGAUUAGAAUCGACAUCCCUGUAUUGGAUAGGACCAUAGAACUCAUCUUCAUUUAAUCCACUGAUUGAAUUAUCAUUUGAUAUUUUUGUCUUGUUGUUCAAA
Molecule: long non-coding RNA, 911 nt
Organism: Magnolia sinica
Lineage: Eukaryota; Viridiplantae; Streptophyta; Magnoliopsida; Magnoliales; Magnoliaceae
Exons: 2
Source: RefSeq, a predicted model, not a curated record